This 2584-nucleotide long non-coding RNA is filed under the name Homo sapiens (human). Its description in RNAcentral is "HSALNT0261569". Lineage: Eukaryota; Metazoa; Chordata; Mammalia; Primates; Hominidae. The record is from RNAcentral.
AGCUGUUGGAGCAGGCCAGCGGUGAGAUCAUUCGCGUGUCUUAGGUCCGGAUGGGCUGGAGCGCCAGGAUAGACCAGAAGUACAUGUAAUUCAGAUAGGACAAGAAGCCUUGUGGAGAGGAAGAGGGCACAGGAGAUGAGACACAGAGUUCACCCACCCAAUCCCAAUCACAGUCCUGUCCCCAGGCCCAAUUGCAUGCCCUGCUCUGCAUCAAACCCCAUCCCCAAACCUAUUCUUAAACCCAUCACCAAUUCCAUUCCAUACCCUAACCUAUUCCCAAACCCAUCUCCAAACCGAAACUCACCUUCAUCCCCUACACUGUCCCUAACCCAUACGCAAACUCCAACCCAGUCCCAUCCCCAUUAUCCAGCCCCAUGUGCAUCCCCAAUCCCGCCUCCCACUUCAGUCACUUCCUAUCUAGCCCUGUCCACAACCCCACCCCGUCCCAAAUGCUAUCCCAAAUGCUAUUCCUGUCUGCAUCCCUGAACCCAUACCCAAAGCCAACCUCAUCCUCUCCCAUACCAGUCAUCAGGAAGAGGAAGACACUGGCCCAGGUCAGGUAGAAGCUGAGUGCCAGCUGGUAGGUCAUGCCUUCCUGCAGGUACCUGUGGGCCUGCAGCAGGUAGAACAGGAUACCCAGUACGAUGCUGGUUCCUGCAUGAGCACAGGUGUUAGGAGGCUGAGAAUCAGAUAUGUAAGGACUCCUUCCCAUAGUCAUGUGGCUGCCUGGCUCUGGCUCAUUAUUUCCCCACUUUCUUUAACCUCCCAGACCCUGUACCUUUGCUCCUAAGCAUGAAGAUGGGCUUCUGACCAAGUCCUGCUAGAGGACACUGAAAGGGCAAGCCUUGGGCUUUAACCAGGCAAUGGAAAAUUUAAAUUGGGCUCCAGAGAAGAGACAUUGAGACUGAUACUUCCAGCACUGAGGAUCUACCUCUAGAAGUCUAGCUCAGAACUUGGCCUCCGGCCUGGGCACUGCCUCAUACCUGCCAGAAUUGAUCUCAAUGGAGCUGCACAAUGAGAGGUUUUGCAUGUUGUCUAGAGGACUUUGGUUGAGUUCAGAGCUGAGCACACUUGCCUUCAGACUCUCCUGGGACUCCCAGGUAACUGAUUCAAUGCUUUUGAUACUGGGCUCGGGGCCGUAGGUAAGUGAUGGGAGCACAUUGACAAUGGCCCAGGCUUGGAAGUUGGGGGUUGGAACACUUAAAUGGGCAGUCUCGGUUGUUGACAGGUAGUUUUGGUCAUGAUCUUUGUUGCUGGGGAUAAUUGAUGAUUAGUCAGGGGGUGAGAGCCUUGGAUACUGAAGCAGCGAGUUUGGAAAAUUGGUGAAGCACCUCGCAUACUGAAAUCGUGGCUGUAGGUAAUGGCUGGUGUUUCUGGGAUACUGAUCUGUUGACUGCUGAUAGCUGGUGUAGGGUCUUGGAUACUGACCUGGUGAUUGUGAAUAAUUGGCAAGGGGUCUUGGAUACUGACCAGGCGAUUGCUGCUGGCUGGUGGAGGCUGUUGGAUACUGACCCCGUGACUGUUCCUGGCUGGUGGAGGGUCUUGGAUACUGACCCGGGAAUUGUAGUUCUCAUCCAUAUGAGCAAGGGCUUCAUGUUACUGGCCGUGGCCCUGUGCUGAGUCCUCCUCCCGCCCAUGGCCCUCUCCUCCUGGCCAGUGGUCCUCCGCCUGAACAUGGCCGACUUUGUCUUCAGUUUCCUCUGCCUCGGCAUUGGGCUCCUGAUUUCUCUUCAGCCUGACGCUCUUUUCAGUUAACGGCAAGGCGGUGCACCCAAGUCCGGUGGUGUCCUACCUGGUGACCUCCUACCUGUGCUGGGACGCCAGCGACUUGAUGCUGCACUCCGCAGGGCGCAGCGAGGCGGACAUCCAAACAGCGGAACUCAGACGCUGACUCCGAGCGCACCCCGGGCCUUCCCAUUUCAUACACCCUCGAGGAUGAGACCCAAGCACCUCCAAGGAAUAGCACCCGAGGUCUUCAGGACACCGACCGGUAGCCAUGGCCAGAUGCCCGGCCAACCCCUUCAGCGUGGCCACGCCCUGGAUAUUCGACCUCCCCUGAGGCCCCACCCCCUGAUAUCAGGCCACGCCCUCCGAGGGGACCGGUGGCAAACUCCAGCCCUCGCUCUAGGGCCCGCCCUUUGCGGCUUUGUCCCUGCCCACUGGGUCCUCACAGUACCUCCACCCCAGAGGCCCAGCAUCCCCUCCCGUUCUGCAGACACUUGUCCAGCGUCCCGCUGAGCUCGGCAGUGUGGCUAGUUUGUGUGGCCCUGCCCCUGGUGCCCAGCCAGGGUGGUCUGCAUGGAACUUCUUUCCCGGAGUUCCGGCCUCAGCUCCGAUGUCCACCCUUGUCCCCAGGUGGACACAGCACCGCCCAGCAUUUGGUGCAACUCCACCCUUCUGCAGAACGGGCCCCUCCCUGGGAAGGCAUGGCUUGCAAUAACAUCCCUCUGUACCUUUUCUGGCUUCCCCGCCACAAUAAAACCUCUCAGCCUCAGACCUUCCAUUGCCCCCCACCUCCCCACCAGGGCAGGGUCCAUCCUAGUGUGAGUGAACUGUUCUGGCGUCCCUGACUUGCCCUUUGGGA